GGUCCGACGCUGCGAACUGGAAGACGAAGUUCUCCCCGGAAAACGUCCGCAGGGCGCUCUGAGGCCGGUGGAAAGAUGGAGGCUCGUUGACUAAAGACAGAGGAGAGGAACCACAAGCUUUGCAGGGAUUGGAACCAACCAACGACAACAACAUAAGCGGUUAAGCGACAGGUCAGGGCAUGCUGGGAAAUGUAGACCUCCGUUCCUUUGAUCUGCUAAUGAGGACAAACAGGACCACAGUGUGACGGCUGACACAGGAACAGCGUACUGAAACGACCAGGUGAAUUUGGAUGUGUCGGGGUCACAGAGGAGGCAGGGGCUGCUGGGGCUGGAGACCCCCGCUGCGAAACACAUCCCGU
This is a long non-coding RNA of Notothenia coriiceps (black rockcod), 359 nucleotides long. RefSeq lists it as uncharacterized. The record is from RefSeq and is a predicted model, not a curated record. NCBI's taxonomy places the organism in Eukaryota, Metazoa, Chordata, Actinopteri, Perciformes, Nototheniidae. The transcript has 3 exons.